RNAcentral lists this ribosomal RNA (822 nucleotides) under Marasmius bulliardii. RNAcentral describes it as "LSU rRNA". It matches the Rfam family "Eukaryotic large subunit ribosomal RNA", at positions 82 to 911 of the family's 3401-position model. Lineage: Eukaryota; Fungi; Basidiomycota; Agaricomycetes; Agaricales; Marasmiaceae. The record is from RNAcentral.
AGUAACUGCGAGUGAAGAGGGAAAAGCUCAAAUUUAAAAUCUGGCAGCCUCAGGUUGUCCGAGUUGUAAUUUAGAGAAGUGUUACCCGUGCUGGACCGUGUACAAGUCUCCUGGAAUGGAGCGUCAUAGAGGGUGAGAAUCCCGUCUUUGAUACGGACUACCAGUGCAUUGUGGUGCGCUCUCGAAGAGUCGCGUUGUUUGGGAAUGCAGCGCAAAAUGGGUGGUAAAUUCCAUCUAAAGCUAAAUAUUGGCGAGAGACCGAUAGCGAACAAGUACCGUGAGGGAAAGAUGAAAAGAACUUUGGAAAGAGAGUUAAACAGUACGUGAAAUUGCUGAAAGGGAAACGCUUGAAGUCAGUCGCGUUGGCCGGGGAUCAGCCUUGCUUUUGUGAGGUGUACUUCCUGGUUAACGGGUCAGCAUCAGUUUCGAUCGUUGGAAAAGGGUUUGAGGAAUGUGGCAACCUCGGUUGUGUUAUAGCCUUUUAUCGUAUACAGCGGUUGGGACUGAGGAACUCAGCACCCUCUGGUGUGCUCAGGAUGCUGGCAUAAUGGCUUUAAGCGACCCGUCUUGAAACACGGACCAAGGAGUCUAACAUGCUUGCGAGUGUUUGGGUGGUAAACUCGAGCGCGUAAUGAAAGUGAAAGUUGGGAUCUCUGUCGUGGAGAGCACUGACGCCCGGACCUGAUGUUUACUGACGGAUCUGCGGUAGAGCAAGUAUGUUGGGACCCGAAAGAUGGUGAACUAUGCCUGAAUAGGGUGAAGCCAGAGGAAACUCUGGUGGAGGCUCGUAGCGAUUCUGACGUGCAAAUCGAUCGUCGAAUU